UGGGGAAUAUUGGACAAUGGGCGAAAGCCUGAUCCAGCCAUGCCGCGUGUGUGAAGAAGGCCUUUUGGUUGUAAAGCACUUUAAGCGAGGAGGAGGCUACUUAGAUUAAUACUCUAGGAUAGUGGACGUUACUCGCAGAAUAAGCACCGGCUAACUCUGUGCCAGCAGCCGCGGUAAUACAGAGGGUGCGAGCGUUAAUCGGAUUUACUGGGUGUAAAGCGUGCGUAGGCGGCUUUUUAAGUCGGAUGUGAAAUCCCUGAGCUUAACUUAGGAAUUGCAUUCGAUACUGGGAAGCUAGAGUAUGGGAGAGGAUGGUAGAAUUCCAGGUGUAGCGGUGAAAUGCGUAGAGAUCUGGAGGAAUACCGAUGGCGAAGGCAGCCAUCUGGCCUAAUACUGACGCUGAGGUACGAAAGCAUGGGGAGCAAACAGG
RNAcentral lists this ribosomal RNA (430 nucleotides) under Bacillota bacterium. RNAcentral's name for it is "Firmicutes bacterium partial 16S ribosomal RNA". It matches the Rfam family "Bacterial small subunit ribosomal RNA", at positions 355 to 776 of the family's 1533-position model. The record is from RNAcentral. Lineage: Bacteria; Bacillati; Bacillota.